This 485-nucleotide ribosomal RNA is filed under the name uncultured bacterium. RNAcentral describes it as "partial 16S ribosomal RNA". It matches the Rfam family "Bacterial small subunit ribosomal RNA", at positions 355 to 857 of the family's 1533-position model. The record is from RNAcentral.
UGGGGAAUAUUGGACAAUGGGGGCAACCCUGAUCCAGCAAUGCCGCGUGUGUGAAGAAGGUCUUCGGAUUGUAAAGCACUUUCGACGGGGACGAUGAUGACGGUACCCGUAGAAGAAGCCCCGGCUAACUUCGUGCCAGCAGCCGCGGUAAUACGAAGGGGGCUAGCGUUGCUCGGAAUGACUGGGCGUAAAGGGCGUGUAGGCGGUUUACACAGUCAGAUGUGAAAUCCCCGGGCUUAACCUGGGAGCUGCAUUUGAUACGUGUAGACUAGAGUGUGAGAGAGGGUUGUGGAAUUCCCAGUGUAGAGGUGAAAUUCGUAGAUAUUGGGAAGAACACCGGUGGCGAAGGCGGCAACCUGGCUCAUGACUGACGCUGAGGCGCGAAAGCGUGGGGAGCAAACAGGAUUAGAUACCCUGGUAGUCCACGCUGUAAACGAUGUGUGCUAGAUGUUGGGUAACUUUGUUAUUCAGUGUCGCAGUUAACG